Molecule: long non-coding RNA, 1136 nt
Filed under: Pan troglodytes (chimpanzee)
Lineage: Eukaryota; Metazoa; Chordata; Mammalia; Primates; Hominidae
Description: long non-coding RNA NONPTRT017535
Source: RNAcentral
GGGGGACACUGAAGGGAGAUGAGAGGAACAAGCACUGGGGUGGUUCUAGGUCUCUCUGGGACCAGCCACUCCAAAGAACACAACCAGUGCAUGCUGAUCUUAUCUUCUUUCAGACCCUGCAACUUCCACGUCUUCUUUAACCCAGAAAGCUUGUUGCAUUUGCAGAAUCUCUGGGGAGAAUAUUAUUAUCAUCUUUAUUAGUAGUAGGUGUUCGCGUGGAGGUGGUCUCAGCUGGAGGACUCCUGGAGUCUGCCCAAAGGGUUCCCAUGACCUCUGGGCUCCACUUACUUCACAAGCCUUGCCCCAGCUCCUCCUGGGCCUGAAGCUGUGUCUGGUGCCUCAUGCCUUUCCAGGUGUUGUGAAUGACACACUGAUGUUGGAGAUCCUUGGCCAUCCAUGUUAUGAACAUUUUUUACUAUUUAGCCAGGUAUCAAAGCUCAAACCAUAGUCUGUAGAAAUAUAAGUUCCAGGAGUGGGGGUCUUGCUAGGUGACGUUGAGCCAGCAGGGCUUUCUGGCGACAGCAAUGACUGUGAUGUUGACAGGUGGGUCGGACUGCAGGAUUCCAUAACCCUCUAAUAUUUGGGUUUUGCUGAACUUGCUCCCAACACUGUUGGUGACACACAGGGACACUGUAUAGAAAGAGUAAUCUCCCUCUGGCACUGCCAACUGGCAGAACUUCUGGGACUCCUGAGAAUACUGACACGGCUCCUGGAAGAGUUCUGCCUGACAGUUCUGAAACUUUCUCACCAAUAGCACAGCUUUGACUCAGAACCUUGACUCCAAGGACUCUAUUCACAACCAAUGUCACUGAGGGGGCUCUUCCAGAAGCAGGAGAGCUGGGGCUCCUCAGGAGAAACAUCCACCAGCAAAGCACAGACCUGCUGGGCAGCCAGCCCGGCAGCAAGAAUAGUUUCCAGAGUCGCAGAGCUGCACCAACCUCAGAAGCAGCCUCCUUCCCACACCAGCCCAUCUGCUGGGGCGUGAGCCUGCGCCGGGAGUCCUGUGCAACCAGUGGACAGUGGCAUGACUUUCAGGUUCUCCCUCUGGACAGUUAACGUUCGAGGCUCCUUUCAAUGUUCUCAACUCUUCAAACAAGUGUUCUUUCUGGAAAAGCCGGCAGGGUGCAUCUACUCCU